RNAcentral lists this ribosomal RNA (1205 nucleotides) under Caryota sp. KH-2014. RNAcentral's name for it is "eukaryotic LSU rRNA". It matches the Rfam family "Eukaryotic large subunit ribosomal RNA", at positions 47 to 1226 of the family's 3401-position model. Lineage: Eukaryota; Viridiplantae; Streptophyta; Magnoliopsida; Arecales; Arecaceae. The record is from RNAcentral.
UAAGCGGAUGAGAAGAAACUUACGAGGAUUCCCUUAGUAGCGGCGAGCGAACCGGGAUCAGCCCAGCUUGAGAAUCGGGCAGGCCUUGCCUCUCGAAUUGUAGUCUGGAAGAAGCGCCGUCAGCGACGGACCGGUCCCAAGUCCCUUGGAAUGGGGCGUCUGGGAGGGUGAGAGCCCCGUUCGGCUCGGACCCUGCCGCACCACGAGGCACUGUUGGCGAGUCGGGCUGUUUGGGAAUUCAGCCCCAAUCGGGCGGUAAGUUGCGUCCAAGGCUAAAUACGGGCGAGAGACCGAUAGUGAACAAGUACCGCGAGGGAAAGAUGAAAAGGACUUUGAAAAGAGGGUCAAAGAGUGCUUGAAAUUGCCGGGAGGGAAGCGGAUGGGGGCCGGCGAUGCACCCCGGCCGGAUGCAGAACGGCGAUGGGCCUGUCCCCGCUCGGCUCGGGGUGCAGACCGUUGUGGCUGUGCCGGCGGCCUACGCCCGGAUGGUGGAACCCCGCCUACGGAUUUAGCUGCCGGCACGGCCGGGGAUGUGAGCACGCUCUUUCCCAGCGUGCCCCUCAGGGCACGGUCUCGCCUCGGGCAGCGGCCCGUGGGCUCCCCAUCCGACCCGUCUUGAAACACGGACCAAGGAGUCUGAUAUGCGUGCGAGUCGAUGGGUGUGCGAAACCCAGAAGGCGCAAGGAAAGUGAUGGGCGCGAGCCUCAACCCCCCUCCCCUUUAGCGGUGGGCGCACCGUCGGCCGACCCAGAUCUUCUGUGAAGGGUUCGAGUUGGAGCAUGCCUGUCGGGACCCGAAAGAUGGUGAACUAUGCCCGAGCGAGGCGAAGCCAGAGGAAACUCUGGUGGAGGCCCGAAGCGAUACUGACGUGCAAAUCGUUCGUCUGACUUGGGUAUAGGGGCGAAAGACUAAUCGAACCAUCUAGUAGCUGGUUCCCUCCGAAGUUUCCCUCAGGAUAGCUGGAGCCCAAGGAAGAGUUCUAUCGGGUAAAGCCAAUGAUUAGAGGCAUCGGGGGCGCGACGCCCUCGACCUAUUCUCAAACUUUAAAUAGGUAGGACGGUGUGGCUGCUCUGUUGAGCUGUGCCCCGGAAUGGAGAGCUCCAAGUGGGCCAUUUUUGGUAAGCAGAACUGGCGAUGCGGGAUGAACCGGAAGCUGGGUUGCGGUGCCCAGCCGCGCGCUAACCUAGAUCCCACAGAGGGUGUUG